CCUACGGGCGGCAGCAGUGAGGAAUAUUGGUCAAUGGGCGCGAGCCUGAACCAGCCAAGUAGCGUGAAGGAUGACUGCCCUACGGGUUGUAAACCUCUUUUAUCAAGGAAUAAAGUGCGGCACGUGUGCCUCUUUGCAUGUACCUUAUGAAUAAGGAUCGGCUAACUCCGUGCCAGCAGCCGCGGUAAUACGGAGGAUCCGAGCGUUAUCCGGAUUUAUUGGGUUUAAAGGGAGCGUAGAUGGGUUGUUAAGUCAGCUGGGAAAGUUUGCGGCUCAACCGUCACAUUGCCAUUGAUACUGGCAGUCUUGAGUACAGGUGAGGUAGGCGGAAUUCGUGGUGUAGCGGUGAAAUGCAUAGAUAUCACGAAGAACCCCGAUUGCGAAGGCAGCUUACUGAACUGUGACUGACGUUGAUGCACGAAAGUGUGGGUAUCAAACAGGAUUAGAUACCCGAGUAGUC
RNAcentral lists this ribosomal RNA (460 nucleotides) under uncultured bacterium. RNAcentral's name for it is "partial 16S ribosomal RNA". It matches the Rfam family "Bacterial small subunit ribosomal RNA", at positions 338 to 795 of the family's 1533-position model. The record is from RNAcentral.